GGAGGGGCGGGCCCAGCUCCGGGAGGGAUCCAGCUCCUGGCUACCUCCCGGCGGGCGCGAACGCCGGGCCGCCGAGGCGGGAUCCGCUGCCGGACGCAGGGCCCUGACGCGGGCUGGGAGCAGAGCCUCGGCAGCCUGUGUGCCGCGGAGGGUGGAGAAAAGCCGCCUGUUGGAGAAUUCACACCGAAGUGUGAGUGACUGAUAGCCCCAUGGCCUAGGGGUGUCUGCGACUCUUAUUCUGGGGAACAGAGGACUUUCGGCCCCUGCCCCGCCCUGCUGGCUCGCUCCACCCACCCUGAGCCUGUUGGGCACCCCCUCUGGUCCCUCAGCCACUUGAAGCCCCAACCCCAGAUCUGCUCUGCUGACCUGUCCCGGCUGGUCCCUGUCCCGGGGGCUCCUAACCUGCUGUUUUAUCUCAACCGUCAUCAUCCAUUUCCAGCUUCAUGGCGGCCGAGGAGAUGCACUGGCCUGUCCCCAUGAAGGCCAUUGGUGCCCAGAACUUGCUAACCAUGCCUGGGGGUGUGGCCAAGGCUGGCUACCUGCACAAGAAAGGUGGUACCCAACUGCAGCUGCUCAGAUGGCCCCUGCGCUUUGUCAUCAUCCACAAGCGAUGCAUCUACUACUUCAAGAGCAGCACGUCUGCCUCCCCGCAGGGCGCCUUCUCCCUGAGUGGCUACAACCGGGUGAUGCGGGCGGCGGAGGAGACGACGUCCAGCAACGUCUUUCCCUUCAAGAUCGUCCACAUCAGCAAGAAGCACCGCACGUGGUUCUUCUCGGCCUCCUCCGAGGAGGAGCGCAAGAGCUGGAUGGCCAUGCUGCGCAGGGAGAUCGGCCACUUCCACGAGAAGAAGGAGCUGCCACUGGAUGCCAGCGACUCCAGCUCCGACACAGACAGCUUCUACGGUGCGAUCGAGCGGCCCGUGGACAUCAGCCUCUCUCCACACCCCACGGACACGGAAGACUACGAGCACGACGACGAGGACGACUCGUACCUGGAGCCCGACUCCCCCGAGCCCGUGCAGCCUGAGGAUGCCCUGAUCCACCCGCCGGCCUACCCCCCGCCUCCUGUGCCCACACCCAGGAAGCCAGUUUUCUCCGAUGUGCCCCGUGCCCACUCCUUCACCUCCAAGGGUCCGAGCCCUCUGCUGCCACCCCCACCCCCUAAGCGCGGUCUCCCAGAUGCUUGCCCGCCCCCUGAGGACUCCAAGAGGGACCUGCUGGGCCUGAGGCGGGCCGAGCCUGGCCCUAGGGUGCCCCCUGCCUCCCGGAGGAUGAGUGACCCCCCGCCAGGCGCUCUGCCCAUCAUGCCCGGCCUACGGAAAACACCUUGCUUCCACGAGAAUGCCAGCCUCAGCCCGGAGCCCCGGAUCCCCAGCCACGGGGCCAGCCCUGCUUCCAGCUCUGCCAGCACAGUUUCCGCCGCUUCCAGGAACUGUGACAAGCUCAAGUCCUUCCACCUGUCCCCUCGGGGGCCACCCACGCCCGAGCCCCCUCCCGUGCCGGCCAACAAGCCCAAGUUCCUGAAGGUGGUUGAAGAGGUCCCCCUCAGGGAGGCAGCCAAGCCUGGACUUUAUGUACCCCCGGUGGCCCCCAGGCCUCCUGUGCUGAAGCUGCCCACGCCCGAGACCACAGCCCGGCCCACGAUCCUGCCCAAGCCAGAGAAGCCACACCUCCCCCACCUCCAGCGCUCACCCCCCGAUGGGCAGAGUUUCAGGAGCUUCUCCUUUGAAAAGCCCCGGCAGCCCUUGCCGGCCGACAGCUCCCUGGCGGACGCCGGCAGGGAGGACUCUGACGAGGACUAUGAGAAGGUGCCGCUGCCCAGCUCGGUCUUUAUCAACACCACGGAGUCCUGCGAGGUGGAAAGGUCAGCGCGAGGCUCCUUCUCCGAGGCCUUGUUUUGCAGACACGAGGUUCCCUGCCUGCCCCCCUCCCUAACCUGUCCUGCUGUUCCCCGCUUUUCUGUCCCCCUUGCGAGCCUUGGUGCCGGGCAGUUGCUGGCACAAGAACACGGCCGAGAGACCUGGCAAAAGAGCAGAUCCCACCAGCUCCGUGCCUGCUGGCCGUCACCCUGGCUCUGCUCCGGCUGGCCCACGUGGCACCCAGUGCUCUUGGUGCCAGGGCAGCAGUACCGGGAGGACAGAGCCCCUGGGGGAGUGGGGCUGUGGGAGAUGGGUCACCUGUUGUCACAACUGUCUUACUGCAGGCUGUUCAAAGCCACGAGCCCCCGGGGGGAGCCCCAGGAUGGACUCUACUGCAUCCGGAACUCCUCCACCAAGUCAGGGAAGGUAGGCAGCCAGGGACGGUGCCCUGGUGGUCACCCUGUCUGCAAAGACCCCCCCACCUCCGACCCCAGGACAGCUGCAUUGGGGUGGGGUCUUCUGGCUCUCCACAUACCCAAGCUGACAGGCGGGUACAGGACUCUACAGUUUGUUUGUAGGAUACUUCCCUAUACAGCCUCUUACUUGGCAUUUCAGCUCAGUUCCAUCCUCGAGGUCUCUGCCUGGCAGCCCCCCUCUCCAUCUGUCUUUGGGGACUAAACACCAACUGCAGUGGUGCCCCCCUCCCCAGCGUGGGCACGAGGCAGGAAGGAAGGGUGGGGGGGCCCAGGAUUCUGUGGGGGUGGGCUUCCUGUUCUUGCACUUUGAAGGGGAGGCUGCUUGGGGGCAGUGGGAAUGCUGGGGGUCUGCUGGCCCUGCCUGUGCCCCUCCAAGGGCGAAUCGUGUAACCUCACUGAGCCUCAGUUUCCCCACGUGGGUCAGAGAUGCUCUUUGUGUGGGCCAGCACUUGCCACUGUCUUUCGAGUCUCGUCAGACUGUCCAAGGGUGGGAAGCCCCGUGGUCAGGGGCCGCCUGUCUCCACCUGGCUGUCCGCGUGCAGAGUGACCCUUCGCUAGGGACCCAGGCUCAGUGCUCUGUCUGCCCCUCGCCCUCGGAGGGCCACGUCUUCCCCAAGGUGAGCCGCUCUCAGUGAGCCCACCCUGCCCGCCUCUCCCUGCAGGUUCUGGUCGUGUGGGACGAAACCUCCAGCAAAGUGAGGAACUACCGCAUCUUUGAGAAGGACUCGAAGUUCUACCUGGAGGGCGAGGUCCUGUUUGUGAGUGUGGGCAGCCUGGUGGAACACUACCACACCCACGUGCUGCCCGGCCACCAGAGCCUGCUGCUGCGCCACCCCUACGGCUACGCCAGGCCCAGGUGACACCGCCCCACCGGCUCCCGGCCACACAGGAGGAGACUGGCUUGCACGGGAGGAUGAGCAGGAGCCAGCAUGGUGCUUUGGCGUGGGGUCUCCCCGACGGACACUGCAGGGAAACUGCCAGGCCGGGCUCCACCCAGCAGGCUGGGUCCCCGGGGCCAGGCCAGACCCUGGGCUCCAGAGAAUUGAGUGGGGCUCUCUGAUCUCACCCCGCCCACCUUGCAGGAGCCCAGGAGCCCAGGACUGAGUCCAGCCAGGACGUCCCGGACAGGAAUUCUGGCACAGCCACCCUGCACUGGGCUGGGAGCUGGGCAGGGCUGGGACAUUUGGGGUGGGGACAGGGGCUGGCCCCAGGUUCCCCCAGGAACGCUACAAUGCAGGCUCCAGAGGGGCCCUUGCUGCACAAUAAAGCACAGAUGACCUUUG
Molecule: non-coding RNA, 3618 nt
Organism: Sus scrofa (pig)
Lineage: Eukaryota; Metazoa; Chordata; Mammalia; Artiodactyla; Suidae
Source: RefSeq, a predicted model, not a curated record